GGCUGGUCUGAAGAUAGUAAGUUAUCUCAAUUUCACAAAUCAGUUACAGAUCAAACUCUUUGUUCUACUGUUUCCCCCCUUCUCACUACUGCACUUGACUAGUCUAAA
Homo sapiens (human) is the source of this 108-nucleotide unclassified non-coding RNA. It matches the Rfam family "Y RNA". From Rfam's summary of the family: Y RNAs are components of the Ro ribonucleoprotein particle (Ro RNP), in association with Ro60 and La proteins. The Y RNAs and Ro60 and La proteins are well conserved, but the function of the Ro RNP is not known. NCBI's taxonomy places the organism in Eukaryota, Metazoa, Chordata, Mammalia, Primates, Hominidae. The record is from Ensembl.